Molecule: long non-coding RNA, 12746 nt
Filed under: Hordeum vulgare
Lineage: Eukaryota; Viridiplantae; Streptophyta; Magnoliopsida; Poales; Poaceae
Description: long non-coding RNA (HVUL_LNC018596)
Source: RNAcentral
GGCAUUUCUCUGUAUAGAGAGCUACUAAGGGCAUACGACUAGGUGUCGAAUCCCAUACAUAUCAGAGUGCAUCACAUGUAUGCAUGACAUACUCGAUAUGCAUAGAUACAACAAUAGCAUCACAACAUAACCAUACAACAUCACAAUAUUUCUUUAGAAGACUCGGAAGAGUCUUGCAUAAUAAGUUCAUACAGGUAGGGGUCACAUGACCCGACACUCAAGUCAUACAAGCAAAGUCAUACAAACCAACCGGAAGCAUUAAAGUUGUCGGAGUACACACAAUUGAAAGGAAAAAGCAUAAAGCCUAACUAUCUACAGAUCCCUUCUGAUAGGGGCCAGGUCGUAGCUGGGACACCAGCUACUCGUCAUCAUCGAGGUCUAGGCAGAACCCACCUGUUGGCUUGUGGGUAUCUUCUACAACAUUUAUUAAACAAACAUGAGUACAAAGGUACUCAGCAAGACUUUAGAACAGAUCUAUCUACUCAUGCACAUGUAUCAAUAAAGGGGGUUGUGGAGUUUCAUGCAGCAAGCCAGCUUUGACUCUUGGCUAGACUAAACUACAAUUUUAAAUAGUUUUAAACAACUUUGAUAAGUAGUACACGUGUCCACUACCACCACAACAAUACACUAUCAUGGAUUCCUUUCCGUCUCCCUACGGAAAUACCAUACAUGAUACUCACACUUAUCUUGAUACUUUUAUGAGUAGCCAUUAAAGUUAUCUAUGAACAACAUAUCUCUCCAAGUAGUCCAUAUCCGCGGACGCUGCUAUUCGAAUAGAUCAUAACCCUAUAGGGGUGUACUUCUUCACACACGCACUCGCCACUUAUCGCCAUGUGCACGUCAUGCACCUCGGCAACCUUCAAGCGGAAGCCCAGCGAGGGAGUCGGCCACGACCGUUAACCACGCUAAAACCUAGUCUAGGUUUAUCGCCUAUUUGAGAGUGAACUCGCACGGAAGUCCAGCCAAGGUUUCCUCUACGGCCCCAAACGAUGUGCGCACGGUUCCCAAGCCCACCACCCGGGUGCCACUUGGUACACUGUGCCACUGCCUACUGCAUGACAGCCCACCUCUAAGGUCAACACCAUGCACGGCCACCAGCAUGACUAUAAACACCACAAACUACUUGCAACUCCUGUACCGAGUACUAGGCGAUUAAUAAGCCGAGAGGGUCGAGUUAUCGGAACCCAAUGUGUGGUAGUAUCUAGUCUUGGAUUACAUACAAGGAACUCAGUUCCUAAGGACGGUUCCAAUGAAACAACCCGCCAUGUACUCCUACAUAGCCUUUCAUCGGAACCUUUACCAAAUCAGGUUCCACACUUAUUCUUUGUCACUAGAACACAUUCAUCCAUUCAUGUUCAUCACCCAGAAGAAACUACCAGGUAUGCUAGGUUGCAAGGUUUGGCUAUUUACUGUGACAAUGACAGGUCAUGCAAAGGAAUAGGUUCAGCUACCGAAGUAAAGCAUUGGAAAUAUUUUGUCCUAAUGCAAUAAGUGGGAGCAGGAGCAGGAACAUGGGAUUAUAUCAGGAUGAUCAAAAGGGUGCUUGCCUUGUUGCUCAGGAGAAGGAUUAAAUCCUUCAGUCAGAUAUUCGGAGGUAUCCGGAAGGGCAGAGCCUACCGAAAUAAUAAUGACAAUCAAUAUCAUUNGAAGUCUAGCUAUUUUGGAGCUAACUAAGAUCUUUUCUAAUUUGCAGACCAACUCCGGCGCCAACUCUUCUAUUUCAUCUAGCACGCCAGGCGAUAGUUCUUUCGCACAAAGAGAACGGAAGAAAUAGCUCAGCUCUGCCAGUACUAGCCAUUCAUCCUCAGGGAUAAAGCCACGCAACAUCACUGGCAUUACCCGCUCAAUCCAUAUUGCCAAUCAUGACUCUUGAGCCCAAAUAUUUUCAAUUUCUCAAGACUCGCUCCCCUCUUUAGAUUCGCAGCAUACCCAUCGGGGAACAUCAACUGCAUUUUCACCCACAAUAGCAUUUCCCUCAUAGCUGGCCUUUCAAGAUUGAACCAUGCCUUUGGCUUCGCUAUGCUUUGCUUUCCUUUCCGUUGUCGCAAGUUUUGCAACGGUCUAUCACAUAGAGCCUCCAGGUCGAUUCUAGCCUUAGGAUUAUCUUUUGACUUCCCCUCUAUGCCGAACAAUGUACCAAAAAUGGCCUCCACAAUAUUCUUUUCAGUGUGCAUCACGUCAAUGUUGUGUGGGCAAAGGAGGUCUUUGAAGUAAGGGAGAUCCCAUAAGCAUGACUUGUGAGUCCAGGCGUGUUCCGUAUUAUACCCUUUGAAGUAUCCUGGACGCAAAGGAUCAGGCUCGAGAGCGUUUAACUGAUCAAGGGUCUGUUGGCCUGUCAACGCAGCUGGUGCAGUGUUUUUGACAAUUCUACCUUUGAUGAAAUUCUUCUUGUCUUUUCUGAACUUAUGGUCCGGAUCCAGGAAUUGUCUAUGCAUGUCGGAGCAAGAAUACUUGCGACCAGCCUGCAGCCAACGGAACUGAAGAGCUGCCUUGCAUGUGGUGCACGGUAACCUUCCAUGCACACACCAGCGAGCGAAUAGCGCAAACGCCGGAUAAUCAUGCGUCGAGUACAUGUACCACACAUGCAUUUUGAAAUUUGUUCUGGUAGCCGCAUCGUAGGUCUUGAUCCCAUUAUCCCAGGCUUCUUGCAACUCAUCCUUAAGCGGCUGCAUGUACACAUUCAUAUUCUUCCCCGGAUAGUUGGGCCCUGGAAUUAUCAACGUCAGGAAAAUGUUCUUUCUUUUCAUAAUCUCUCCGGGUGGCAAAUUUAGUGGAAUGACAAAUACAGGCCAACAACUGUAUUGUGUUGCCGUCAUACCAUACACAUUGAACCCAUCCGUGCUGAUGGCAACUCUAGGUUGCCUUGGAUCUUCCGAUUAAUCCUUAUGUAAUGCAUCGAAGUGCCUCCACGCAAAACCAUCUGAAGUGUGUACCAGCAUCUUGUUCCCAUCCGCAUCUAGUUCGGUUCUUUUGCCCAAUUUGUGCCAUGUCACCUGUCUGGCCGUCUCUUCGACCAUGAAAAGACGUUGAAGUCUUGGUACGAUUGGCAGAUAUCGAAGAGCACUAAUGGGGAUUUUGGUCAGAUUCUUCUCACCCAUGUCGUUGUCUACCACAAUAUACCUGGAAGAAUUGCAAAUGGGGCAAUAGUUCAAGGCCGCAUACUCAAGCCUAAAUAAGGCACAUCCAUUCUCACAGGCAUGUAUCUUCUCAUAGGGCAUCCUAAGUACAUGAAGUAUUUUUUCUGACCGAUACAGGUUUGUAGGCAUGACAUGGCCUUUGGGUAGAAAGGGUCCAAAUAGUGUCAUCAUCGUGUCGUAGCAUUCUGUUCCCAAGUUGAACUGAGCCUUCCGAGCCAUUACUUAUGCAAUGGCAGCCAGCUGACAAAGCUCAGUGUGCUCGUGGAGAGGACGUUUUGAAGACUCCAACAUUUCAUAGAAGGCAUUUGCAGAUUUCGUCAUCUCUUCGUUCAAAUCUCGAGAAUCAUCAAAGUCUUCCACCAUGUCUUCGAUCCCGGUACCAUGCUCAUCAGCGCGACGACGAACCACCUCAGCUCUGAUGCGUUGUACAAACUCACAUGAAAUGUCCACAUAGUAUAAUUAGGCUUAAACCCCCUCCUCUGCAGGUGUUUAAUCAUUACAGCAUUUGUCCUCUUUUUAUAGUUGUCACACUGUGGACAAGGGCACCAGUUUGUUUCCUAGCCAUUUGCAAAUGCAGCUUUCACAAAGUCGUUGGUUUUUAUAAACCAUUAUUUCAUCAUCUCUUUCGUCAAGGUUUCCUCACCAUAGACAAGUGUUGUCACUUGUUAUCGGGAUCACAUCAUUAGGAGAAUGAUCUGAUGGACAAGACCCAAACUAUAAACAUAGCAUAUGACCGUGUCAGUUUAUUGCUACUGUUUUCUGCAUGUCAAUGUUUUUGUUCCUAUGACCAUGAGAUCAUGCAACUCCCGGACACCGGAGGAAUACCUUGUGUGUAUCAAACGUUGCAACAUUACUGGGUGACUAUAAGGGUGCUCUACAGGUAUCUCCAAACGUGUCUGUUGGGCUGGCAUGGAUCGAAACUCGGAUUUGUCACUCCGUAUGACGGAGAGGUAUCUCGGGGCCCACUCGGUAAUAUCACAACAAGCCUUGCAAGCAAUGUGACUAAGGAGUUAGGCAUGGGAUCUUGUAUUACGGAACGAGUAAAGAGACUUGUCGAUAAUGAGAUUGAACUAGGUAUGGAGAUACCGACGAUCGAAUCUCGAGCAAGGAACAUAACGAAGGAAAAAGGGAACAACAUACGGGAUUAACCGAAUCCUUGACAUAAAGGUUCAACCGACAUAGAUCUUCAUAGAAUAUGUAGGAGCCAAUAUCUAAAUCCAGGUCCCGCUAUUGGUUAUUGACCGGAUAGUGUCUCGGGUCAUGUCUGCAUAGUUCUCGAACCCGCACGGUCUGCACACUUAAGGUUCGGUGACGAUUUGGUAUAGUUGAGUUAUAGGUGUUGGUGACCAAAGGUUGUUUGGAAGUCACACGGAGCUCCGGAAUGGUCCGUAGGUAAAGAUUGAUAUAUAGGAAGUCCUGUUUUGGUCAGUGGAAACAUUUUGGGAUCAUCGGUAGUGUACCGGGACUGUGGGAGGGUACUGGGGGACCACCGGGAGGGUUGUGACUCCCCAAGGGUUUCAUGGGCUGUGAUAAGAGGUGUACUAGCCCCUGUUGGGCUGUCCAAAGCCUCUCUCAAGGGCCCAUGUGGCUAGAAGAAGAGCUAAAAGGCAAAGAACUUUUAAAAGGAAGGGAAAGGAGGAGUCCUCCCAAAGUAAUCCACCUUCCCACAAGGAGGUUGACUCCUCCUUUGGUUCGGCCAACCCCUCUCCUUGGAGGAGGGGCCAAGGCAGCCUCCUCUCCUCUCCUCAUAUAUAUACUAGAGGUUUUGGGGGUUUUUGAGAUAGAAUAAUCAGCCACGUGUUGCCCUCUCUCUAGAUCUGUUUCUCCUCUAGUCUAGUUUUCAGCGGUGUUUAGGCGAAGUCGUGUUGGACUAGCUCCACCACCAUCGCCGUCAUGUCGUCGCGCUGACGGAGAACUCAUCUACCUCUCCGCCCCCUCUUGCUGGAUCAAGAAGGCGGAGAUCAUCAUCGAGUUGUACGUGUGAUGAACGCGGAGGUGUCGUCCGUUCGGCGCUAGAUCGGGACAAAGUUCGUGGGACGGUGUUGAUUUGGAUCACGAAGAUGUUCCACUACAUCAACCGUGUUAUAUACGCUUCCUCUUAGAGAUCUACAAGGUAAGUAGAUUCACUCUCCCCUCUCGUAGAUGAUCAUCACCAUGGAUAGGUAUUGGGUGUGCGUAGGAAAUUUUUGUUUCCCAUGCAACAUUCCCCAACAGUGGUAUCAGAGCUAGGUUCAUGCGUAGAUGGUAUCUCGAGUAGAACACAAAAGAGUUCGUGGUCGUUGAUGUUCAAUUUGCUGCCCUCCUUAGUGUUUUCUUGAUUCGGUCGCAUUGUUGGAUUGAAGCGGCCCGGACCAACUUUACUCGUACGCUUACGAGAGACCGGUUUCAUCGACUGACAUGCAACUUGUUGCAUAAAUAUGACUGGCGGGAGUCUGUUUCUUCAACUUUAGUUUAAUCAUAUUUGACCAAGGCGGUCCAUGGUUUUGUGUAACACCGUUGUAGUUUUGCAUAAGUAAAAUGCGAUCAUACUAGAUACCCAUAGGAGCCAUGUAAAACAUGCAACAACAAAUUAGAGGACGUCUAAAUUGUUUUUGCAGGGUAUGCAUGUGAUGUGAUAUGGACAAUGACAUGAUACGAUAUAUUGGAUGUAUGAGAUGAUCAUGUUGGAAUAGUUAAAUAUCGACUUGCGCGUUGAUGCUACGGCAUCCGGCAGGAGCCAUAGGGAUGUCGUUAAAAAAUUGUGCUUGUAGAUGCUCUUGUUAUAUUGCUAGGCAGUAACUUUAGUAGUAACAGCAUAGAGAACGCGACAACCUCGAUGGCAGCAUGAUGAUGGAGAUCAUGGUGCGGCGCCGGUUACGAUGGAGAUCAUGCCGGCGCUUUGGUGAUGGAGAUCAAGUAGCACAAGUUCAUGACCAUAUCAUGUCACUUAUGAUUUGCAUGUGAUGUUAAUAAUUUUAUGCACCUUAUUUUGCUUAGGACGACAGUAGCAUUAUAAGGUGAUCCCUCACUAAAGUUUCAAGAUAAAAUUGUGUUCUCCCCGACAGUGCACCGUUGCGACAGUUCGUCGUUUCGAGACACCACGUGAUGAUCGGGUGUGAUAGACUCAACGUUCACGUGCACCGUUGCGACAGUUCGUCGUUUCGAGACACCAUGUGAUGAUCGGGUGUGAUAAACUCAACGUUCACAUACAACGGGUGCAAAAUAGUGGCACACGCGGAACACUCGGGGUUAAACUUGACGAGCCUAGAAUGUACACACAUGGCCUCCGAACUUAAGAGACCGAAAAGUCGAGCAUGAAUCAUAUAGCUGAUAUGAUCAACAUUGAGAUGUUCAUCGUUGAAACUAUACUCAACUCACGUGAUGAUCGGACUUGAAUUAGUGAAUUCGUAUCAUGUGACACUCGAAUGACUAGAGGGAUGUCAAUUUGAGUUGGAGUUUAUUAGUAAUAUGAUUAGCUAAACUCAAUUAUCAUGAACAUAGUCCAAAGGUCCGAUGAGCAUUGAUCACUUAAGUAGAUACGGGUAUACAUACUGAUGUGUGUGGUCCGAUGAGCAUUGAUCACUUAAGUAGAUACGGGUAUACAUACUGAUUUGUGUGGUCCGAUGAGCAUUGAGGCACACGGUGGAUAUCGUUAUUUUCUCACUUCACUGAUCACUUAAGUAGAUAUUGGUAUAUUUACUUAAUGAGACACAAGUCUGAAAUGUUUGAAAAGUUCAAGCAAUUUCAGAGUGAAGUUGAGAAUCAUCUUAACAAGAAGAUUAAAUUCAUAUGAUCUGAUCGUGGAAGCAAAUAUGUGAGUUAUGAAUUUGGCACUCACCUAAGACAAUGUGGAAUUGUUUCACACUUGACACCGCCUCGAACACCACAGUGUAAUGGUGUGUCUGAACGUCGUAAUCGUACUUUAUUGGAUAUGGUGCAUUCUAUGAUGUCUCUUACCGAUUUGCCGUUAUCAUUUUGGGGUUAGGCGUUAGAGACAGGUACAGUCACUUUAAAUAGGGCACCAUCUAAUUCCUUUGAGACGAUGUCGUAUGGAUUGUGGUUUGGCAAGAAAGCAAAGUUGUCUUUUCUUAAAGUUUGGGUAUGCGAUGCCUAUGUCAAAAAGCUUCAUCGAGAAAAGUUGUAACCCAAAGCAGAGAAAUGUGUCUUUAUAGGAUACCCAAAAGAGAUAGUAGAGUAUACCUUCUAUCUCAGACCCGAAGGCAAAGUGUUUGUCGCUAAAAUUGGAACCUUUCUUGAGAAAGAGUUUCUCUCUAAAGAAAUGAGUGAGAGGAANNNNNNNNNNNNNNNNNNNNNNNNNNNNNNNNNNNNNNNNNNNNNNNNNNNNNNNNNNNNNNNNNNNNNNNNNNNNNNNNNNNNNNNNNNNNNNNNNNNNNNNNNNNNNNNNNNNNNNNNNNNNNNNNNNNNNNNNNNNNNNNNNNNNNNNNNNNNNNNNNNNNNNNNNNNNNNNNNNNNNNNNNNNNNNNUUUACUUCAACCAGAGAGUAGCGCAGCGUAGAAAGAUGUUUCUAUGGGGCCUACUUAAAUUGAAGAGGAAGCUAAUGAUGAUGAUCAUGGAGCUUUGGAUCAAGUUGCUAUCGAACCUCGUAGGUUAACAAGGGAACGCACUCCUCCUCAGUGGUAUUGUAACCUUGUCUUAAUAGUCAUGUUGUUGGACAACAGUGAACCUACGAGCUAUGGAGAAGCGAUGGUGGGCCCGAAUUCCAAAAAAUGUUUACAGGCCAUGAAAUCCGAGGUAGGAUCCAUGUAUGACAACAAGUUAUGAACUUUGGAAGUAUUACCUGAAGUGCGAAAGGACAUUCAGAAUAAACAAACAACACAUAACUUAUUAAUACCAAAUCAUCACCGAACCUAAAUUGUGCAAACCCCGCGGGUUCGAGUACUAUGCAUACAUAACCGAGAAACUCUCUGUUCAAUAACCAAUAGAGGGACCUGGAUGACCUUAUUAUCUCCUACAUAUUCUACGAAGAUCUUUAUUGGUCGAACCACGAUGUCAAGGAUUCAAUCAAUCCCGUAUACCGUUCCCUUUAUCCAUCGGUAUGUUACUUGCCCGAGAUUCAAUCAUCGAUAUCUAUAUACCGAGUUCAACCUCGUUACCCGCAAGUCUCUUUAAUCGUUCUGUAAUACAAGAUCUCGUGGUUAACUCUUUAAUAACAUUGCUUGCAAGCUUGUUGUGAUGUUGUAUUAUCGAGUGGGCCCUGAGAUACCUCUCCGUCACACGGAGUGACAAAUCCCAGUAUUGAUCAAUGCCAACUCAACAUACACCCUCGAAGAUUCCUGUAGAGCCUCUCUAAACUCACCAAGUUAUAUUGUGACGUUGAUACACACAAGGUACUCCUCCAGUGUCAGUGAGUUCCAUGAUCUCAUGGUCAUAGGAACAGAUACUUGACAUGCAGAAAGCCAUAGCAAUAAACUGACACACUCAUAUGCUACAUCCAUAGUUUGGGUCUUGUCCAUCACAUCAUUCUCCUAAUGAUGUGAUCCCGUUAUCAAAUGACAACGCAUGUCUAUGGCCAGGAAACCUUGACCAUCUUUGAUUGGUGCGCUAGUCCUUUACAUGCUCAAUAGGGACACUGUGUUGUCUAUGUACCUACAUAUGUAUUUGAGUUUCUAAUCAAUACAAUUCUAGCAUGGAUAAUAAACGAUUAUCAUGAACAAGGAAAUAUAAUAAUAACCACUUUAUUACUGCCUCGAGGGCAUAUUUCCAACAAUCUCCCACUUGCACUAGAGUCAAUAACCUAGCUCACAUUCUUCUUAAAGAUCCAUUUAUUCCGAAUUGCCUUUCGCCCUUCAGGUAAUACUUCCAAAGUCCAUACUCUGUUUCAUACAUGGAUCCUACCUCAUAUUUCAUGGCCUCUAAACAUUUUUUGGUAUUCGGGCUCACCAUCGCUUCUCCAUAGCUUGUCCAACAACAUGACUGUUAAGACAGUUUUACCAUAUAAGUGAGGAGCAGUGCGUGCCCUUGUUGACCUACGAGGUUCGAUAGCAACUUGAUCCAAAGCUCCAUGAUCAUCAUCAUUACCUUCCUCUUCAAUUGAAAUAGGCCCCAUAGAAACAUAUUUUUGCGCUCCUCUACACUCUGGUUGAAGUAAANNNNNNNNNNNNNNNNNNNNNNNNNNNNNNNNNNNNNNNNNNNNNNNNNNNNNNNNNNNNNNNNNNNNNNNNNNNNNNNNNNNNNNNNNNNNNNNNNNNNNNNNNNNNNNNNNNNNNNNNNNNNNNNNNNNNNNNNNNNNNNNNNNNNNNNNNNNNNNNNNNNNNNNNNNNNNNNNNNNNNNNNNNNNUUCCUCUCACUCAUUUUUUUCGAGAGAAACCCUUUCUCAAGAAAGAUUCCAUUUUUAGCGACAAACACUUUGCCUUCGGAUCUGAGAUAGAAGGUAUACCCUACUUUCUCUUUUGCGUAUCCUAUGAAGACGCAUUUCUCCGCAGUGGGUUCCAGCUUUUCUGGACGAAGCUUUUUGACAUAGGCAUCGCAUCCCCAAACUUUAAGAAAUGACAACUUUGCUUUCUUGCCAAACCACAGUCCAUACGGCUUUGUAUCAAAUGAUUUAGAUGGUGCCCUAUUUAAAGUGAAUGUAGUUGUCUCUAAUGCAUAACCCCAAAAUUAUAACAGAAUAUCGGCAAGAGACAUCAUAGAACGCACCAUAUCCAAUAAAGAAUGAUUACGACGUUCAGACACACCAUUACACUGUGGUGUUCGAGGCGGUGUCAACUGUGAAACAAUUCCACAUUGUCUUAGGUGAGUGCCAAACUCAUAACUCAGAUAUUUUCUUCCUUGAUCACCUCAUAGGAAUUUAAUCUUCUUGUUAAGAUGAUUCUCAACUUCACUCUAAAAUUGCUUGAAAUUUUCAAACAUUUCAGACUUGUGUUUCAUUAAGUAAAUAUACCCAUAUCUACUUAAGUGAUCAGUCAAGGUGAGAAAAUAACGAUAUCCAUCGCAUGCCGCAAUGCUCAUCGGACCACACACAUCAGUAUGUGUGAUUGAGACUUGUCGGUAACGAGAUUGAACUAGGUAUGAAGAUACUGACGAUCGAAUCUCGGGAAAGUAACAUACCGAAGGUAAAAGGGAACAACAUACCGGAUUAACUCAAUCCUUGACAUAAAGGUUUAACCGAUAGAGAUCUUCGUAGAAUAUGUAGGAGCCAAUAUGGACAUCCAGGUCCCGCUAUUGGUUAUUGACCGAAGAGUGUCUCACAUUACUGGAAUCAGAAAAUUUGCCAUCUGCCGGGUCUUUUCUGUCUGCUGGUUGAUGGCAAAGAAUCUCUUUGCCGUCAGCUACCAAAAAAUUGAUGGCAAAGAUCUCACAGAUGGCAAAGAAGUGCUUUGCCAUGAGUCGCUUCUUUGCCGUCAGCUAGCGGACGGCAAAGAUGGACCGAGCUGAUGGCAAAGACAUGGCUGAUGGCAAAGACAUGGCUGACGGCAAAGAUGACCCAUGCAGACGGCAAAGAAAAAUCGCAGUUGUAGCCAUUACGUUUGCCAUCUGCCGGCUCUUUGCCGUCCGCCAAAAGCUCCUUUGUCGUCUGCNNNNNNNNNNNNNNNNNNNNNNNNNNNNNNNNNNNNNNNNNNNNNNNNNNNNNNNNNNNNNNNNNNNNNNNNNNNNNNNNNNNNNNNNNNNNNNNNNNNNNNNNNNNNNNNNNNNNNNNNNNNNNNNNNNNNNNNNNNNNNNNNNNNNNNNNCCUUUGUCGUCUGCCUGGGAGCACAGCGGACGGCAAAGACAUCAACCCACUAACGGCAGCCCAGUGUAACGCUCCAACCCCACCUCGUUGUUUCAAAAAAAAAAACCCACCUCGUCGCCCUCCUCCCGCACGCUCCCUCCCCCAUCCAGCUUGCGCCCACCGGUCGGCGCCUCCCCGCCCUCCCCACCGGCCGGCNCAUCGGCUCCCCUCCCCAUCGGCUCCCCCCUGCAGGCCGCACCACUCCUCCGAUCCGGCCACGCCGUUAGGAGCACGAGCAGCCUCCCUGACGCUCCUCCUCGCCCCGGAUGCCCUGGAGCCUCGUCGCCACCCCCCUCCAUCGCCCGCACCCUCCUCCGCCGCCCCAUCCCGCCGGCGACUUCGCCACCUAGCCGGAGCAGCCACCUCCCCGGAGGAACUCCUCUCCCCUGCCAGCAAAAACGGUGAGAUUCAUCUGUAUAGGAGAAAAUGAAGAAAAUGAGUUCGUAAUGCUAUUUACCAUCAAUUUGGUAGUAACUAGAGGGCAGCAGCGGCACUAUUUUACAACUCCAUCUAUUAUCUAUAUUCAAAGGUGACCCUACAUGAAUAUGAGAGAACAAAUUGAGUUCUGGUUACCUUGCCAUUGCAACUACAAGUGUCUUGCAGUACACAACAAGAAACUAUCCUCGUGUUCUUGAAAUUUAAAUCUUUUUUAGAAUUUUUUACCUCUCAUCAAUCCAUCAUUGAACACAUAUAUCCACUACUGCCCAUAACUGGUUGGAAAACCUGAUAACUCUAGCCUCCUGACGGAGUGCAGAGUAAACAGCACCUAUGCGCAAUGUCCGUUUGUUCCAAGACACACAUGCAAAAUUCAGAGAUAUCAUGCUAUGGUCUAGGGAUGACUCUGAUUCCUGAACUGAAGAUGAACGAAACAAUAAGCCAAAGUGCAAAUCUUACCUGGAUCACCUUGCUGCCAUCUUCCAUAGUAAAAAGCAUAGGAAAUUGCCAACUGAAAUCGCACCAAUUAGAGAACAACCUGAAAGAACAACAAGUGCCUCAUAAAAAUAAAUCCGUGGAGAGCUCCACUUGCAAUGAAACCACUGCGAUCUUUAUGCAUUUCAUAAUUUAUCAGUGCAAUUUAGCAAUUGGGCCUCAUAAAAAACAGUUGCAAAAAGCAGCGGCUGCCCUUUCAUCAAACAUCUUCCAUAGUCUUUCUCAUGGCCGCCAUACCUCAAGGCCGGCAGAUCCCCUAUGACGGAGAGAGGAAGAGAGAGACUUAGAGAGAGGGGGAGAGAGUGUGGAAUGGAUUGGGGACUCACCAACGCGCGGAGCUCCAGGACCAGAACAAAAGGGAAGCCAGCCCCGAUAACCUCCUUCCCCCAAGAUGGUGCACACACAGGUGCAGGCCUCCUAUUCAGUGCCGAGGAGGAGGUAGACUGGCCGCAACAGUGGCGCGACGAAUCAAGCUCCUCCAGUCGAGCACCGAGCGAGGCGACAACGAGAAAAGCGGGAGGAUACAGGCAUGUGGCCGCGCGAGGGAGGCACCCCCGAGUGGCACAACAUCACUUGGUCUUCUUCAUCGUGGGCGAGGACAGGCGCCGGCAGAGAUCGUGAUGGUUGGACAAGGAGAGAAGGGAACGCAUCAGGACAGAGGGGUUGGCGUGAUGGCCUGAGGUAGCUUCUCCAUGAAGGAAAGCUGGCUACGUGGGCCAAUGUCAACAAGCUGCCAAGCAGACAAGUUUUUCCAAUCGCUGGCCUGAAUUUUUUUUCUCUUCUCCUGCCCAAUAGCUAGGGGAUGACGUGGAUAGCGGGAGGAGGCACUCUUGCAGUGUAGCUUAUUGUAUUUGAUUCUUGGACACAUGACACAUCAUACCUACACAAAUAAAAUAUUCUCAUGCUAAUAUCUAUUCUCUUUGAAUAAAUGAUACAAAAUAAAGGAGGUGACACCUUCGAAUAUGUAGAAU